GUGCAAAAGUAAUUGCGGUUUUUGCCGUUUACAUUUAAUGGCAAAAGCUGCAAUUACUUUUGCACCA
Molecule: microRNA precursor, 67 nt
Organism: Gorilla gorilla gorilla (western lowland gorilla)
Lineage: Eukaryota; Metazoa; Chordata; Mammalia; Primates; Hominidae
Source: Ensembl